Suricata suricatta (meerkat) is the source of this 317-nucleotide long non-coding RNA. RefSeq lists it as uncharacterized. The record is from RefSeq and is a predicted model, not a curated record. NCBI's taxonomy places the organism in Eukaryota, Metazoa, Chordata, Mammalia, Carnivora, Herpestidae. The transcript is spliced from 3 exons.
CCGAGCCACCCAGGAGCCCCAGAUGUUUCAAUAUUUAAAGAAGACCACGAGUAGCAGGAAAACACUUGAAAACAGUAGAAAAAACCAACAUUGCAGAACCAUUUUCAAUAGACAUACCAACCAGAAGAUUUUUGCGUAUGCCAAUCCCUGAAGAAAUCCUCUUUUAAAAAGAUUUACAAAGAUCUGAAGCCUAAGGAGCAACAUCUUCAACGAGUAUCAUAUUUCUUGCAAAUUGUGUUCUUCAGAUUUUAAGUUACUAUCUUUAAAGCAAUUUUGCUUAUAAACUUGAAAAUAAAUGAUGACUUCUAUCUCUUCAA